This 91-nucleotide microRNA precursor is filed under the name Dasypus novemcinctus (nine-banded armadillo). RNAcentral describes it as "miRNA (ENSDNOG00000046287.1)". The record is from RNAcentral. Lineage: Eukaryota; Metazoa; Chordata; Mammalia; Cingulata; Dasypodidae.
GAAGUAUUCUAUUGUGUGUGUGUGUGUGUGUGUGUCUGUGUGUAUAUAUAUACACACACAUUUAUACACAUAUAUAUACACAUAUAUAUAC